This 282-nucleotide ribosomal RNA is filed under the name uncultured bacterium. RNAcentral describes it as "partial 16S ribosomal RNA". It matches the Rfam family "Bacterial small subunit ribosomal RNA", at positions 335 to 606 of the family's 1533-position model. The record is from RNAcentral.
ACUCCUACGGGAGGCAGCAGUGGGGAAUAUUGCACAAUGGGGGAAACCCGUAGCAUGCAGCCAUGCCGCGUGUGUGAAGAAGGCCUUCGGGUUGUAAAGCACUUUCAGCGAGGAGGAAAGGGUGUAAGUUAAUACCUUACAUCUGUGACGUUACUCGCAGAAGAAGCACCGGCUAACUCCGUGCCAGCAGCCGCGGUAAUACGGAGGGUGCGAGCGUUAAUCGGAAUUACUGGGCGUAAAGCGUGCGCAGGCGGUUUGUUAAGCGAGAUGUGAAAGCCCGCU